Molecule: regulatory RNA element, 114 nt
Organism: Lottia gigantea (owl limpet)
Lineage: Eukaryota; Metazoa; Mollusca; Gastropoda; Lottiidae
Rfam family: Potassium channel RNA editing signal
About the family: This family represents a group of sequences related to the human potassium channel Kv1.1 hairpin element which directs the efficient modification of an adenosine to inosine by an adenosine deaminase acting on RNA (ADAR). The ADAR modification causes an isoleucine/valine recoding event which lies in the ion-conducting pore of the potassium channel. It is thought that this editing event targets the process of fast inactivation and allows a more rapid recovery from inactivation at negative potentials.
Source: Rfam
GUGGGAUAUGGUGAUAUAUAUCCUAUAUCACCUAUAGGGAAAUGUGUGGGUACAGUAUGUUCGCUCUGUGGUCUGUUGAUAAUCUCCAUGCCUAUAGCCAUUAUAGCAGCUAAU